This is an RNA transcript of Argiope bruennichi, 2261 nucleotides long. It is a transcript of the gene named protein MTO1 homolog, mitochondrial-like, with no coding region annotated. The transcript has 18 exons. Lineage: Eukaryota; Metazoa; Arthropoda; Arachnida; Araneae; Araneidae. The record is from RefSeq and is a predicted model, not a curated record.
UUACUAUUGGCCGCAUGAGAGUAAUGGAACAGUUUCGGUUGUCUUCUUGUUGAAGAAUUGAUGCGAUAGUUUUAUAAAAGUCGUAUAAAAUUGAUUAUAGAAAAUUAUUGAAAAAUCAUGAAAUCUGCAUACCAUUAUCACAUAUUCCAUAGAAACUUUAAGCAGUUGUAUCAUAUAUUUUCAAGAUAUGCUAGCUCACAGACAUCUCUCUAUGAUGUUAUUGUUGUUGGUGGAGGACAUGCUGGGACUGAAGCUGCUGCUGCAGCAGCUAGAAUGGGUUGCAGCACUCUUCUUCUAACUCAUAAAUUGAAUACUAUUGGUGAAAUGUCUUGCAAUCCAUCAUUUGGAGGGAUUGGAAAAGGCCAUUUAAUGAAAGAAAUUGAUGCACUUGAUGGUGUAUGUUGUCGCAUUUGUGAUAUAAGUGGUAUUCAUUAUAGAGUACUUAAUAAAGCCAAGGGUCCAGCUGUUUGGGGUCCAAGGGCUCAGAUUGAUCGUUCAUUAUAUAAAAAAUAUCUGCAGAAAGAAUUGUUUAGUACACCUAAUUUAAAGAUUGUAAGUGGAUCUGUAGAAGAUUUAAUUUUAAAAUCAGAAGCAGAAAAUGAUAAAUGUUUCCCUGCUGUUCAUGGAAUAAAAUUAAGUAAUGGAAAUUUAGUUUAUGGAAAAACUGUUGUAAUUACUACUGGCACAUUUUUGCGUGGAACCAUCAAUAUAGGAUUGGAAAGUCGUCCAGCUGGCCGCAUGGAUGACGAGCCAUCUAUUGGAUUAGCUGUGACUCUUGAAAGAGCAGGCUUUAAAUUAGGAAGAUUGAAAACAGGUACUCCUCCAAGAUUAAAAGCUUCCUCAGUAGAAUAUUCAGAGGUUGAGCCAACGUCACCUGAUAACCCUCCUGUUCCAUUUUCAUUCUUGAAUUCCAGAGUCUGGAUAGAGCCUGAAAAUCAAGUUCUUACCUAUUUAACAUUUACUACACCAGAGGUUGCAAAGUUAAUUAAAGAGAACCAACAUCUUAAUCGCCAUGUAAUGGAAGAAACUCAAGGUCCAAGAUAUUGCCCUUCCAUUGAAUCUAAAGUUUUAAAAUUUGGGGAUCUUUCUCAUCAAAUAUGGCUUGAACCUGAAGGCUUGGAUUCAGACCUUAUUUAUCCACAAGGACUAUCAUGCACACUUCCAGAGGAUCUUCAACUUAAAAUGUUGAAAUUUAUUCCAGGAUUACACAAUGUGAUAAUGACGAGGCCAGGUUAUGGUGUUGAGUAUGAUUUCAUUGAUCCUCGACAGCUGAAACCUUCACUGGAAACUUUAAAAAUAAAAAAUCUGUUUCUUGCUGGACAAAUAAAUGGUACCACUGGCUAUGAAGAAGCAGCUGCCCAGGGCAUUAUUGCUGGAAUCAAUGCUGCAUGCAGUGUUCAAGGCAAAGAUCCUUUUAUAAUCAGUCGUACUGAAGGUUACAUUGGAGUUUUAGUUGAUGAUCUCACCACACUGGGAGUUUCUGAACCAUAUCGUAUGUUUACCAGUAGAGCUGAAUUCAGAGUAUAUUUAAGGCCAGAUAAUGCUGACACACGUUUAACUGAAAAGGGUUUCAAAGUUGGCUGCGUUUCAGAAGAUCGUUAUGCAAAGUAUGUUCAGUUUAGUAAUUACUUGAUGGAUUCUAUAGAUGCUCUGAAACAAGUUAUGAAAAGUGGAAAAGAAUGGGAGAUUGUUACAAAAUGUCCCAUUAAAAAAAGCGCCUUUAAUGUAUUGACCAUACCAGGAUUCAAUUCUGAAAAGAUUUUACAAUAUUUACCUACAAAUGUCAAAAAAUCGGAGGAAUUUCCUCAAGUCCUGUCACGUUUAUAUAUAGAAGCAUUGUACCAACAUUCUGUAGAGCAGCAACUAGAAGAAAUAAGAAAACUGAAAGAAGAUGAGGAACUUCAACUUCCAGAAGAUAUUGAGCAUGUAGUAAAGCUGGCAUUAAAAUUUUGAUGGUCUUUGGUUUCCAAACUUCUUUGAAUCUGGAAUAUCUAUUUUUGGAAUUAUGUUUAUCUGAGAACGAAGCUUAAAAUCACAUUGAGCUAGAGGAAAGAAAUUUGGAAUAAUAUUCAGCUUUCUAUGGAGAUAAAAGAAAAACUUCUUGAAGCUCGUCCUUCAACAUUGGGUGCUGCUAAAUUGAUUCCUGGCAUCACGCCUUCUGCUCUUACCGCACUUUUGUAUUUUGUUCGAAAACAAAAGGCUUCAUAUGAUGUGUGAUGAUUUCUAUUGUAAUAUAUUUUAAUAAAUUAUUUUUUAUAUAA